RNA transcript from Micropterus dolomieu (smallmouth bass), 936 nucleotides. It is a transcript of the gene named neuronal tyrosine-phosphorylated phosphoinositide-3-kinase adapter 1-like, with no coding region annotated. The record is from RefSeq and is a predicted model, not a curated record. The transcript is spliced from 3 exons. NCBI's taxonomy places the organism in Eukaryota, Metazoa, Chordata, Actinopteri, Centrarchiformes, Centrarchidae.
AGACUCCAGGUCUCUGCCCAGACAUGACAGUAAAGACAGAGAUGGACAGUCAAGUCCAGUUUCCAGCAGGAUGGGGAGAUCGUCUGUCAGCCCCACAAUGAUGCUGUCUGGAGGAGGAGGUGGAGGAGGAGGAGGAGAAUCAAAGUUGGUGUGUAAACUCGGCCGUUCAGCCUCAACGUCAGGAGUUCCUUCACCAGGUGGGACGCCACGUCACCUGCAUGAGCCGCAUCACCCCGCCCUCAGCCAGGAUUCAACUUCACUGAACAACAGAACAUAAAACUAUUUUACAGGCGGACAGAAGCUUCGAUCCAUCAGCUGACUGACAUCUGACAUGUAAACAUGUCAACAAGGAAACAUGUAAACAAAGUGUUUUCUUUACUUCCUUCAAAGGACAUUUUCUAAUUUGACUUUUGUGUAAAAUAUUUGUUGUUUAAAUGAAAUGUUUUUUGUAUUGUGUCUCAACACAGACACUAGAAGGAAUCUGAAGAUAUAAACAGUAAAGUAAUACUGAAGUAAUACUGAUACUAACAAAGUUUAAUUAUUGAUACUAACAUUAAACUAACUUUACACUAACAUUAAACAAAUGCUGACUGAACUCAUACUGACACACUUUAAUACAUUCAAUCUCAUUAAAACUUCAUCACUUACAAAUUAUUUACACGCUAAUCUCACCUAACUAUACCAUAUAUGAAAAUAAACACUCACGCUGCUCCCAUGCUACUCUAAAGCCUAACCCAUCGCAAUGUAACCCCACCUCAGCCAGCUGACUGAGAUUCUUUUACAUUUCAGAGAAUUCACUCAUGUUUCAAGCACGUUGUUGUUUGUUGUUCUGUUUUUUAAAUGAAAAAGGCUUUUUAAACUCCCAGGUUGUAAAGCUGUAGAUUUGUAUGUGUAACGUUGUGUGUAAAUAUUUGCUAUGGAGGAGAAAAUAUUUUA